This 396-nucleotide ribosomal RNA is filed under the name uncultured bacterium. RNAcentral describes it as "partial 16S ribosomal RNA". It matches the Rfam family "Bacterial small subunit ribosomal RNA", at positions 523 to 918 of the family's 1533-position model. The record is from RNAcentral.
AUACGUAGGUGGCAAGCGUUGUCCGGAUUUACUGGGUGUAAAGGGUGCGUAGGCGGGGCAGCAAGUUGGAUGUGAAAUCCUCGGGCUCAACUCGAGAACUGCAUUCAAAACUGUUGCUCUUGAGUGCAGUAGAGGCAAGCGGAAUUCCCGGUGUAGCGGUGAAAUGCGCAGAGAUCGGGAGGAACACCAGUGGCGAAGGCGGCUUGCUGGGCUGUUACUGACGCUGAGGCACGAAAGCAUGGGUAGCAAACAGGAUUAGAUACCCUGGUAGUCCAUGCUGUAAACGAUGAUUACUAGGUGUGGGUGGACUGACCCCAUCCGUGCCGGAGUUAACACAUUAAGUAAUCCACCUGGGGAGUACGGCCGCAAGGUUGAAACUCAAAUGAAUUGACGGGG